UACGUAGGUGGCGAACGUUAUCCGGAAUUACUGGGCGUAAAGGGUCCGUAGGCGGCUGAGGGAGUCGGACGUGAAAUCUCGCGGCUUAACUGCGAGGGGUCGUUCGAUACUGCUCAGCUAGAAUCCGACAGAGGUCGGCAGAAUUCCCGGUGUAGUGGUGGAAUGCGUAGAGAUCGGGAGGAAUACCGAAGGCGCAAGCCGCCGGCUGGGUCGAGAUUGACGCUGAGGGACGAAAGCGUGGGGAGCGAACAGG
This 253-nucleotide unclassified non-coding RNA is filed under the name uncultured Anaerolineae bacterium. RNAcentral describes it as "contains 16S-23S intergenic spacer region". It matches the Rfam family "Bacterial small subunit ribosomal RNA", at positions 524 to 776 of the family's 1533-position model. The record is from RNAcentral. Lineage: Bacteria; Bacillati; Chloroflexota; Anaerolineae.